Benincasa hispida (wax gourd) is the source of this 703-nucleotide non-coding RNA. NCBI's taxonomy places the organism in Eukaryota, Viridiplantae, Streptophyta, Magnoliopsida, Cucurbitales, Cucurbitaceae. The record is from RefSeq and is a predicted model, not a curated record.
CCAGUCGAACCGCCUCAUCGCCCAGCUCCCUCGCGCCGACCAAUCGUUCGCCUCCAGCCGAGCCUUCACACCGCGCGCCGCCGUCUCCUUUAGCCAAGUCCUCGACAGCAGAUCGCGUCGUCCCUCUCCUGCGCGUCUGCGAGUCGCCGCCAAUAGACUGGGCAUUUUGUUCGUGGGUCGCCGCGCUGUUCGCGAGUUUUCAGCCGCUCGUCCGCCCAGAUCUGAAGCCCGACCGUUUGCGAGCCCGUCCGACGCCGUCCAAAGCCACCACGUCAGUUUCUUCUUCACGUCCUCUGUUCAGUCACCGCAUAAGCGCCGUCCACUUUUGCCAUCAUUGGAUUAUCGAUUUGGAUGUUGAUCACCAAAGUUGGAGUUUGUUUCAUCGAAUUUUGUGAAUUUCGUGUCUGAAGCUCAAGUGUAGUUCGACUUGAGCAAACACUUCAGGAUUUGAUUCAAGAUUCGUAUUAGGCAAGGAAGAGGAUAAAUUUGUUUAGAUUGAGCCCAAAUUUUGAGAUAAGAGUAGGGAUGCGUCGACGAAUGACAAGCGGAGUUCGUGAUCAAGCCACUAGGACUAGAUUUAUGCUUCCACUUAUGAGAUUUAAACUUCUUUUCAUGUUUUUCUUAGCUUUCAGUGUUGAUGUUUAAAACUUACUAUUAAGAAUCGCUUACAGAUUUAUUUAUUAUCAUUUAUGAUUUAUGGGUA